Molecule: ribosomal RNA, 453 nt
Filed under: uncultured bacterium
Lineage: Bacteria
Description: bacterial SSU rRNA
Rfam family: Bacterial small subunit ribosomal RNA
Source: RNAcentral
AGAGUUUGAUCAUGGCUCAGAGCGAACGCUGGCGGCAGGCUUAACACAUGCAAGUCGAGCGGGCGUAGCAAUACGUCAGCGGCAGACGGGUGAGUAACGCGUGGGAACGUACCUUUUGGUUCGGAACAACACAGGGAAACUUGUGCUAAUACCGGAUAAGCCCUUACGGGAAAGAUUUAUCGCCGAAAGAUCGGCCCGCGUCUGAUUAGCUAGUUGGUAGGGUAAUGGCCUACCAAGGCGACGAUCAGUAGCUGGUCUGAGAGGAUGAUCAGCCACAUUGGGACUGAGACACGGCCCAAACUCCUACGGGAGGCAGCAGUGGGGAAUAUUGGACAAUGGGGGCAACCCUGAUCCAGCCAUGCCGCGAGAGUGAUGAAGGCCCUAGGGUUGUAAAGCUCUUUGUGCGGGAAGAUAAUGACGGUACCGCAAGAAUAAGCCCCGGCUAACUUCGUG